This is a non-coding RNA of Myotis davidii, 85 nucleotides long. NCBI's taxonomy places the organism in Eukaryota, Metazoa, Chordata, Mammalia, Chiroptera, Vespertilionidae. The record is from Rfam.
AGGCCUGCAGAGAGAGAGAGGCAGGGUCUAAUCCCCAGCCUCCGUGGCAGCUGUUGGUCAGCUGCUGCCUCUCUCUUCCUCUCCC